RNAcentral lists this ribosomal RNA (253 nucleotides) under uncultured prokaryote. RNAcentral's name for it is "partial 16S ribosomal RNA". It matches the Rfam family "Bacterial small subunit ribosomal RNA", at positions 524 to 776 of the family's 1533-position model. The record is from RNAcentral.
GACGUAGGGGGCAAGCGUUAUUCGGAAUCAUUGGGCGUAAAGCGCUCGUAGGCGGAUCGAACAGUCGGUGAAGAAAGACCUGGGCUCAACUCAGGGAACGGCACCGAUACUAUCGGUCUUGAGGCAAUCAGAGGAUGAAGAAAUUCCCGGUGUAGCGGUGAAAUGCGUAGAUAUCGGAAAGAACACCAAGGGCGAAGGCACUCUGCUGGGCCGAAACUGACACUGAGAGACGAGAGCUAGGGGAGCAAAUGGG